GACCUCUCUGAAUCCAUGUCGAGAUUUUGUCAGACGCCAACCCAAUAGGGCUGAUGAAACUUUCAAGAUAAGUGAAGUA
This is a non-coding RNA of Schistosoma margrebowiei, 79 nucleotides long. Lineage: Eukaryota; Metazoa; Platyhelminthes; Trematoda; Strigeidida; Schistosomatidae. The record is from Rfam.